This 514-nucleotide ribosomal RNA is filed under the name uncultured bacterium. Its description in RNAcentral is "bacterial SSU rRNA". It matches the Rfam family "Bacterial small subunit ribosomal RNA", at positions 336 to 863 of the family's 1533-position model. The record is from RNAcentral.
CUCCUACGGGAGGCAGCAGUGGGGAAUAUUGGGCAAUGGGCGAAAGCCUGACCCAGCAACGCCGCGUGAAGGAAGAAGGCCUUCGGGUUGUAAACUUCUUUGACCAGGGACGAAAUAAAUGACGGUACCUGGAAAACAAGCCACGGCUAACUACGUGCCAGCAGCCGCGGUAAUACGUAGGUGGCAAGCGUUAUCCGGAUUUACUGGGUGUAAAGGGCGUGUAGGCGGUUUUGUAAGUCGGAUGUGAAAUUCCCAGGCUUAACCUGGGAGCUGCACCCGAAACUAUAGAACUUGAGUACUGGAGAGGAUAGUGGAAUUCCUAGUGUAGCGGUAAAAUGCGUAGAUAUUAGGAGGAACAUCAGUGGCGAAGGCGACUAUCUGGACAGUAACUGACGCUGAGGCGCGAAAGCGUGGGGAGCAAACAGGAUUAGAUACCCUGGUAGUCCACGCCGUAAACGAUGGAUACUAGGUGUAGGGGGUAUCGACCCCCCCUGUGCCGGAGUUAACACAAUAA